GGGCGAUUAGCUCAGCCGGGAGAGCGCUUGCCUUACAAGCAAGAUGUCGGCGGUUCGAUCCCGUCAUCGCCCACCA
This 76-nucleotide transfer RNA is filed under the name endosymbiont 'TC1' of Trimyema compressum. Its description in RNAcentral is "tRNA-Val". It matches the Rfam family "tRNA". From Rfam's summary of the family: Transfer RNA (tRNA) molecules are approximately 80 nucleotides in length. Lineage: Bacteria; Bacillati; Bacillota. The record is from RNAcentral.